CCCUGUAGCUCAGUUGGUAGAGCAUGGUGUUUGCAACACCAGGGUUGUGGGUUCGUUUCCCACGAGGG
Molecule: non-coding RNA, 68 nt
Organism: Salmo salar (Atlantic salmon)
Lineage: Eukaryota; Metazoa; Chordata; Actinopteri; Salmoniformes; Salmonidae
Source: Rfam